Molecule: ribosomal RNA, 495 nt
Filed under: uncultured bacterium
Lineage: Bacteria
Description: SSU rRNA
Rfam family: Bacterial small subunit ribosomal RNA
Source: RNAcentral
AGAACGAACGCUGGCGGCGCGCCUAACACAUGCAAGUCGAACGAGAAUCCGGGGCAACCCGGUAGUAAAGUGGCAAACGGGUGAGGAAUACAUGGGUAACCUACCCUUGAGAAGGGAAUAACCCGCCGAAAGGUGAGCUAAUACCCUAUACGCUAUCAUUUUUUUCGAAAAGGAUAGGAAAGCCAGGUCGAGGACCUGGUACUCAAGGAGGGGCUCAUGUCCUAUCAGCUUGUUGGUGGGGUAACGGCCUACCAAGGCUACGACGGGUAGCUGGUCUGAGAGGAUGAUCAGCCACACUGGCACUGAGAUACGGGCCAGACUCCUACGGGAGGCAGCAGUGAGGAAUAUUGCGCAAUGGGCGAAAGCCUGACGCAGCGACGCCGCGUGGGGAUGAAGGUUUUCGGAUUGUAACCCUUUCAUGAGGAAGAUAAAGUGGGUAACCACUUAGACGGUACCUCAAGAAGAAGCCACGGCUAACUUCGUGCCAGCAGCCGC